Daktulosphaira vitifoliae (grape phylloxera) is the source of this 618-nucleotide long non-coding RNA. RefSeq lists it as uncharacterized. The transcript is spliced from 3 exons. NCBI's taxonomy places the organism in Eukaryota, Metazoa, Arthropoda, Insecta, Hemiptera, Phylloxeridae. The record is from RefSeq and is a predicted model, not a curated record.
GUCACAGAAGGGAUCGGUACUACCUACCAGGCUGAAAGGUAAUGAGGGUUGCUUGUAGUCUCAUCGACGGUCAGUUUUCAGAACCAAGUAGAAGAAGAAGGACGCAGCAGAUAUUCCACCUUUUUAUAUUACAUAUUUAUUUAGUUAUUUUUGUUGAAAAUUAUUUUCUUAAAUAAAGCAAGUCAGUUUGUGUUUGAUCAUUCACUAUAAUCCAUACACGAGCAUUAUCAGGACCUUUAAAGAAAUUAUGGGUAAAGUUAUAAAUGAAUAGCUUGAUCUAAGUUUAGAUUAAUUAAUUAUUCUAAACUGGGAAAUGUAAAUUAAAGCCUUGGAAUUUCAAUACUAGUGCAAUGGAAUAUUCACAGAGGAUAACUAAUAUGAAACAUUACUAAAAUUUAAAGAAUAUCGUUUACGAACAGAUGCGAUUGGAUCUACUUAAUUAAAAUUUUUAACAAAUUUAAACAACCUUCAAAAAUAAUUUGGGAGAUGUUCAUACUUUUUGUCCUAUGUUAAGAGGGUUGUAAAGAUUUGUUUGUUAUAACAAAAAUAAUACUUAUAAGAGAAGAUGAAAACUAUGAUUAUUUGUUUCUUUCCAAAGCAAAUCAUAGAAAAACGAAU